GGGUUGUGAGGUUAAGUGACUAAGCGUACACGGUGGAUGCCUAGGCAGUCAGAGGCGAUGAAGGGCGUGCUAAUCUGCGAAAAGCGUCGGUAAGGUGAUAUGAACCGUUACAACCGGCGAUACCCGAAUGGGGAAACCCAGUGUGUUUCGACACACUAUCAUGUCAUGAAUACAUAGUGGCAUGAGGCGAACCGGGGGAACUGAAACAUCUAAGUACCCCGAGGAAAAGAAAUCAACCGAGAUUCCCCCAGUAGCGGCGAGCGAACGGGGAGGAGCCCAGAACCUGAAUCGGCUUGUGUGUUAGUGGAAGCGUCUGGAAAGUCGCGCAGUAAAGGGUGAUAGCCCCGUACACUAAAAUGCACAGGUCGUGAGUUCGAUGAGUAGGGCGGGACACGUGACAUCCUGUCUGAAUAUGGGGGGACCAUCCUCCAAGGCUAAAUACUCCUGACUGACCGAUAGUGAACCAGUACCGUGAGGGAAAGGCGAAAAGAACCCCGGCGAGGGGAGUGAAAUAGAACCUGAAACCGUGUACGUACAAGCAGUGGGAGCACCUUCGUGGUGUGACUGCGUACCUUUUGUAUAAUGGGUCAGCGACUUAUAUUUUGUAGCAAGGUUAACCGUAUAGGGGAGCCGUAGGGAAACCGAGUCUUAACUGGGCGAAUAGUUGCAAGGUAUAGACCCGAAACCCGGUGAUCUAGCCAUGGGCAGGUUGAAGGUUGGGUAACACUAACUGGAGGACCGAACCGACUAAUGUUGAAAAAUUAGCGGAUGACUUGUGGCUGGGGGUGAAAGGCCAAUCAAACCGGGAGAUAGCUGGUUCUCCCCGAAAGCUAUUUAGGUAGCGCCUCGUGAACUCAUCUUCGGGGGUAGAGCACUGUUUCGGCUAGGGGGCCAUCCCGGCUUACCAAACCGAUGCAAACUCCGAAUACCGAAGAAUGUUAUCACGGGAGACACACGGCGGGUGCUAACGUCCGUCGUGAAGAGGGAAACAACCCAGACCGCCAGCUAAGGUCCCAAAGUCAUGGUUAAGUGGGAAACGAUGUGGGAAGGCAUAGACAGCCAGGAUGUUGGCUUAGAAGCAGCCAUCAUUUAAAGAAAGCGUAAUAGCUCACUGGUCGAGUCGGCCUGCGCGGAAGAUGUAACGGGGCUAAACCAUGCACCGAAGCUGCGGCAGCGACGCUUAGGCGUUGUUGGGUAGGGGAGCGUUCUGUAAGCCGUUGAAGGUGGCCUGUGAGGGUUGCUGGAGGUAUCAGAAGUGCGAAUGCUGACAUAAGUAACGAUAAAGCGGGUGAAAAGCCCGCUCGCCGGAAGACCAAGGGUUCCUGUCCAACGUUAAUCGGGGCAGGGUGAGUCGACCCCUAAGGCGAGGCUGAAAAGCGUAGUCGAUGGGAAACAGGUUAAUAUUCCUGUACUUGGUGUUACUGCGAAGGGGGGGACGGAGAAGGCUAGGCUAGCCGGGCGACGGUUGUCCCGGUUUAAGCGUGUAGGGGGUGUGACCUGGUAAAUCCGGUUGCAUAUCAACCCUGAGGCGUGAUGACGAUGCACUACGGUGCAGAAGUAGUUGAUGCCCUGCUUCCAGGAAAAGCCUCUAAGCUCCAGGUAACAUUGAAUCGUACCCCAAACCGACACAGGUGGUCAGGUAGAGAAUACCAAGGCGCUUGAGAGAACUCGGGUGAAGGAACUAGGCAAAAUGGUGCCGUAACUUCGGGAGAAGGCACGCUGGCAUGUAGGUGAAGUCCCUUGCGGAUGGAGCUGAAGCCAGUCGAAGAUACCAGCUGGCUGCAACUGUUUAAUAAAAACACAGCACUGUGCAAACACGAAAGUGGACGUAUACGGUGUGACGCCUGCCCGGUGCUGGAAGGUUAAUUGAUGGGGUCAGCCGCAAGGCGAAGCUCUUGAUCGAAGCCCCAGUAAACGGCGGCCGUAACUAUAACGGUCCUAAGGUAGCGAAAUUCCUUGUCGGGUAAGUUCCGACCUGCACGAAUGGCGUAAUGAUGGCCAGGCUGUCUCCACCCGAGACUCAGUGAAAUUGAACUCGCUGUGAAGAUGCAGUGUACCCGCGGCAAGACGGAAAGACCCCGUGAACCUUUACUAUAGCUUGACACUGAACAUUGAGCCUUGAUGUGUAGGAUAGGUGGGAGGCUUUGAAGCGUGGACGCCAGUCUGCGUGGAGCCAUCCUUGAAAUACCACCCUUUAAUGUUUGAUGUUCUAACUCGGCCCCAUAAUCUGGGGUGAGGACAGUGUCUGGUGGGUAGUUUGACUGGGGCGGUCUCCUCCCAAAGAGUAACGGAGGAGCACGAAGGUUAGCUAAUCACGGUCGGACAUCGUGAGGUUAGUGCAAAGGCAUAAGCUAGCUUGACUGCGAGAGUGACGGCUCGAGCAGGUACGAAAGUAGGUCUUAGUGAUCCGGUGGUUCUGAAUGGAAGGGCCAUCGCUCAACGGAUAAAAGGUACUCCGGGGAUAACAGGCUGAUACCGCCCAAGAGUUCAUAUCGACGGCGGUGUUUGGCACCUCGAUGUCGGCUCAUCACAUCCUGGGGCUGAAGUAGGUCCCAAGGGUAUGGCUGUUCGCCAUUUAAAGUGGUACGCGAGCUGGGUUUAGAACGUCGUGAGACAGUUCGGUCCCUAUCUGCCGUGGGCGUUGGAAGAUUGAGAGGGGUUGCUCCUAGUACGAGAGGACCGGAGUGAACGCACCACUGGUGUUCGGGUUGUCAUGCCAAUGGCAUUGCCCGGUAGCUAAGUGCGGAAAAGAUAAGCGCUGAAAGCAUCUAAGCGCGAAACUUGCCUCAAGAUGAGUCUUCCCUGGGCCUUUAAGGUCCCUGAAGGAACGUUUAAGACUAAGACGUUGAUAGGCUGGGUGUGUAAGUGCAGCGAUGCAUUGAGCUAACCAGUACUAAUGAUCCGUGAGGCUUAACCUUACAACACCGAAGGUGUUU
This 2936-nucleotide ribosomal RNA is filed under the name Serratia marcescens. RNAcentral's name for it is "23S ribosomal RNA". It matches the Rfam family "Bacterial large subunit ribosomal RNA". The record is from RNAcentral. Lineage: Bacteria; Pseudomonadati; Pseudomonadota; Gammaproteobacteria; Enterobacterales; Yersiniaceae.